This 341-nucleotide ribosomal RNA is filed under the name uncultured bacterium. RNAcentral's name for it is "bacterial SSU rRNA". It matches the Rfam family "Bacterial small subunit ribosomal RNA", at positions 28 to 365 of the family's 1533-position model. The record is from RNAcentral.
GACGAACGCUGGCGGCGUGCUUAACACAUGCAAGUCGAGCGGUAAAGGCCCUUUCGGGGGUACACGAGCGGCGAACGGGUGAGUAACACGUGGGUGACCUGCCCUCAGCUCUGGGAUAAGCCUGGGAAACUGGGUCUAAUACCGGAUAUGACUCCAUGACGCAUGUUGUGGGGUGGAAAGCCUUGUGCGGCUGAGGAUGGGCCCGCGGCCUAAUCCAGCUUGUUGGUGGGGUGAANGGCCCUACCAAGGCGACGACGGGUAGCCGGCCUGAGAGGGCGACCGGCCACACUGGGACUGAGACACGGCCCAGACUCCUACGGGAGGCAGCAGUGGGGAAUCUU